Molecule: ribosomal RNA, 468 nt
Filed under: uncultured bacterium
Lineage: Bacteria
Description: partial 16S ribosomal RNA
Rfam family: Bacterial small subunit ribosomal RNA
Source: RNAcentral
GACGAACGCUGGCGGCGUGCUUAACACAUGCAAGUCGAACGGAAAGACCCUGCUUUUGUGGGGUGCUCGAGUGGCGAACGGGUGAGUAACACGUGAGUAACCUGCCCUUGACUUUGGGAUAACUUCAGGAAACUGGGGCUAAUACCGGAUAGGAGCUCCUGCUGCAUGGUGGGGGUUGGAAAGUUUCGGCGGUUGGGGAUGGACUCGCGGCUUAUCAGCUUGUUGGUGGGGUAGUGGCUUACCAAGGCUUUGAGGGGUAGCCGGCCUGAGAGGGUGACCGGCCACAUUGGGACUGAGAUACGGCCCAGACUCCUACGGGAGGCAGCAGUGGGGAAUAUUGCACAAUGGGCGGAAGCCUGAUGCAGCAACGCCGCGUGCGGGAUGACGGCCUUCGGGUUGUAAACCGCUUUCGCCUGUGACGAAGCGUGAGUGACGGUAAUGGGUAAAGAAGCACCGGCUAACUACGUG